RNAcentral lists this ribosomal RNA (492 nucleotides) under uncultured bacterium. RNAcentral's name for it is "partial 16S ribosomal RNA". It matches the Rfam family "Bacterial small subunit ribosomal RNA", at positions 29 to 507 of the family's 1533-position model. The record is from RNAcentral.
AGUGAACGCUGGCGGUAGGCCUAACACAUGCAAGUCGAACGGCAGCACAGUAAGCUCUUGCUCUUACGGGUGGCGAGUGGCGGACGGGUGAGGAAUACAUCGGAAUCUACUUUUUCGUGGGGGAUAACGUAGGGAAACUUACGCUAAUACCGCAUACGACCUACGGGUGAAAGCAGGGGAUCUUCGGACCUUUCGCGAUUGAAUGAGCCGAUGUCGGAUUAGCUAGUUGGCGGGGUAAAGGCCCACCAAGGCGACGAUCCGUAGCUGGUCUGAGAGGAUGAUCGGCCACACUGGAACUGAGACACGGUCCAGACUCCUACGGGAGGCAGCAGUGGGGAAUAUUGGACAAUGGGCGCAAGCCUGAUCCAGCAAUACCGCGUGGGUGAAGAAGGUCUUCGGGUUGUAAAGCCCUUUUAUUGGGAAAGAAGAGCAGCAGGUUAAUACCCCGCUGUUCUGACGGUACCCAAAGAAUAAGCACCGGCUAACUUCGUG